Molecule: long non-coding RNA, 2729 nt
Organism: Leptopilina boulardi
Lineage: Eukaryota; Metazoa; Arthropoda; Insecta; Hymenoptera; Figitidae
Exons: 5
Source: RefSeq, a predicted model, not a curated record
CGUGAAGGGACCCAAAUUGAAAUUAAAGUCAACAUGAUCUCUCUCUCUGUGUUCAUUUUGUGCUGAGAGAGGGGCACCAAUCGUCUCUAACUAUUUUCAACGCGUUUGCGUACUGUUCGCUCCGAAACAAUUCACCAUCCCUACUCUAUUCUCUCUAUACUAAACAGAUUCGUUCCAAAGAAUUCCCUGUUGGAAAAUGCCACCUCCAACUGUCCAAUUGCCACUGUCAUUUAUAUAAUAUAAACCAACACUGUCUUAUGGUUAUAACCAACAAAAGCUAUCCUACUACAUUGUCUUUGAACUAUAUUUUACCUCCAGCUAUAUAUGAUACACACAAACUACACAAUCUACAUUACGUAAUCCUGAUUAGAUAUCGUUCUACUUGUUUUUUUUUCUUUUUCUUUUCCUUUACUUCUGCGCAGAAAUAUUGCUUUUUGAAAUGUAUUUCCGGAAAUUGUUUCUCUCUCACACCUACCAUUAAUUUUCCUUGGUAUUGAGGUCCGGUUCCGGGAGAGCUUUGGUGCGCGCAAUGGUUGAGCGUUGUGAGAGUAUGGUGGAGGGAACCUGACGGAACCCGUCGAAACCAGCCGAACAGGCGAAACUAUUGAUCGUGAUACUGUACACUAAGAUUUACAUCCAAUAUCCAUAGGACAAUGGAUUUGAAAACAAUAGACAUCCAGAGAAUACAAUAUCCAAAGUGUACAUAGCGGAUAACCGACAUGAAUAGUAAUCCGUCAACUAUAUAUAUAGCGAAUUGCAGAGCUGGAAGAGAACGUCAAUGCGUAAUAAAUUACGUCCAUCCAAUUGGUAAUUAGAUUCCAGUCGGUUGGAGUUUCUAUAGCGCAACGUCGACUUGAUUAUCGAUUUUGUUCCCACCACCACCAUCAUCAUCAUCAUCAUCAUCACUUGGAACACAAAUGCCGGAGAGCUGCUGGCUGAAUAUGCUGGGAGAUCCAAUCAUAGUUCUGAAAAGCGUGAUUACCCGUACGGGGUAAGGGGAAAAGGCAGGAGGUAUUAAAACCGAGGAAGGGAAACAGCUACAAAGAACGUUGACCUGCCAUCAAGCAACCCUCUCCUUUCGUCCCGGAUUCACUGCCAGCUGCGCACAACUUUCUAAACUCGACUCGACAAUUUUGGUUCAAGACAUCUAGCGGUGGCGUCACAUAACUAGAGACACUUGGAACUCUGAUGAGACAACUUCCAAAGUGCAAGGAUAUGAAUUACGAAAAAAAUCAUCUAAUCGAUAUGAAAAAAGAAAUUUUCCACGCCAUCUGGUGGUGGCGUCCUCAACCACGGAUAAACAACAUAAAUUUCAAGAAAACUUUAAUGCUCGGUUGUAAAAUAAAAGCAUAAACGUAAAUGGACUCUUCCGUUUGGGAUAAUAUAUAUUUUGUUGGCGUUUUAAUGACAUUCAUAAAAGGUCAACGAGAAAUAAUGGUUACGAUAUUCCAAUGUGUAGAUUUGAAUCUAUAUUUUAUAUUCAUUGAAUUCAGUUUGUGACGCAUUUUGUGUGGAACUGGAACGAGAUAAGUUUCAGGCCGCUUGAAUUCUCAGUUAACGGAUGGAAUAUAUUAAAAUCCUCUCUCUCCCCGCUCAAGAAGCCACAACGACGUUUGUAAAGCGCUUAAUUAUACCUAUAUAUAUAUAUAGAUUUGUUCCACUCGUCAUGAAUACUGACAGCGAGAGCUUCGUUCCGUUAUUUUGCCUGAAAUAUCCCAGAGUAUUAUGCGGGAGGGGUUUUUGGAACGAGGUAUUAGUAAAGCGUGAGGGCGUGGCUUCGGGUUGUCCUUAGCAGCAGCAUUACAACGAUAUGAAGGUAUUUGUGUGUAGCAGUACUUCACAAGUAAAAAGGAUGAUGAUGAUAUUGGAAAAAUGAGUGGAAAUUUCCAAGCGCGCCUGCGUUGCAAGCCAUUUUUGUAAAUGUGUUGGUUUUACACAUAAGAAACAAAAAAAAAAAAAGAAACUUUUAGCUGUUUUCAGGCUUCUCUUUCUCGUUUAUAAUUUUACAACUUGCCUUGAACGUGUUCUAAGUUUUAUAAUUAGAAAACUAACACGUCAGCAGAUUUCAAGUUUACGUAAGAUUACUCCGAUAUCAUUGAUGUUGGAUGAGUCAUUAAUUUCUGAACAACCUUUUCUUUGUCUGACGGGUUUUUAUGCAUAGCAUAUGGUUGAAGGGGAUCCGAAACUGGAAUAUUUAUGACCCCACUUUUUUUAUGACCCGCUGCCAUAUAGUCAGCUAUAUAGUGUGACUGGCGGAUUUGGAGAUGAAAAGAAAGUGGAAAUUGGUGCUUGCGCCAGGGUUUGCCGUGGCUUUUGCUGACCUCACUGGCUCUGGUUGGUUGUUGCUAGGCAACGUAUCGUAGGUUACGGUUGUGCCAGUUAGGUUUUGCUGGUGCUCUAUCUACCUAUAUAUAGUUUUAUUCUCUAUAUAGUUGCUCGAUUCUCGAAAUUACUAACUACUACGCGGCAUUACGCCAACGCUGUUGCCAAAUUGCAUUAUAUAUUGAGAUUUGUUUCGCAAAAUUAUUCCGCUGAUUAGCACAAAAUUAAUUACUUUAUUGUAUUAUUUUUUUUUUGAUUACCAAGGUGAUUAAUAAUGACAUAUAUUUUAUACUUGAGAUAUUAUGUAUUUUUGAUGAUAUAUUCAAUUUAAAAUAUAUGUAUAUGUAAAUUUAUUGUUAGCGUCGUUUAGCGUCUCGACCAAUAUAUAAACACUUUUAUCCUUGGUA